RNAcentral lists this transfer RNA (93 nucleotides) under Apiotrichum porosum. RNAcentral describes it as "tRNA-Thr". Lineage: Eukaryota; Fungi; Basidiomycota; Tremellomycetes; Trichosporonales; Trichosporonaceae. The record is from RNAcentral.
GCCUUCUUAGUUCAGUGGCUAGAAUUUUUCACUAGUAGUGUCCCCAUGGAACUUGCUAUGAAAGGGUCACCCGUUCAAUUCGGGUAGAAGGCA